This 944-nucleotide long non-coding RNA is filed under the name Setaria viridis. RNAcentral describes it as "long non-coding RNA (SVIR_LNC004653)". The record is from RNAcentral. Lineage: Eukaryota; Viridiplantae; Streptophyta; Magnoliopsida; Poales; Poaceae.
GGGCUUGCCUGCAAACAAAGAGGGCGGAAACUGCUCGACUUCGGGGGCGGCUUCGACUUCCGCGGGCAGGAUCUCGGCUACAGCUUCUUCUUCGGGCGUCGGGUGCAGCUCGUAGAAGCCGUCAGCGAGAUGCAGCUCUACACGAAUGCAAUACAAGGGUUAGCUUAGACAGUUAUUUCAACAGCAACACUGGCUCUCCUGAGCCCAGAAACUCGCGACAAAGAGCAGGAGGUUGAGGCUGGUUGAGAGAGCUGAUGGUGAUCAUCGGUAAGGGUAGGAAGGGAACUAGUGGUCUGAUCCUUGAACUAGAGGAUGUGAUAACUGGGAUCCUCAGACGUAGGCGCUGAAGGGUUCCCACGUUUUACACAUACACCCUCGAGUUGAAGAAAAGGAUCACAGCCAAGCCCUCAGGCGAGGCGGACAAGGGUCGGCAGAACAGGCGGGGUCGGAUGAGACGGAACUGGGGUCGGGCGGAUAGGAGGGGUCGGGCGAGGCGGACUUAGGGUCGGCACUCACCUUCUUCCUGAAAGGAAAGCUUGGGGUUGGGAAGAGGCAGACUUGGGCGCGGAACUAAAGCUUCGAGCAGGGACUAAGAUUGGCGAUACUCCGGCGGCGGCGCUGCUUCUUGCGGAUCACAAGAGAGCUCUACGCAGCACAAGGGAGCACGCUGCUGGUGACUUGGAUGAACUGAGAAGGAACUGGGAGAUGAACUUUUCAAGAACUGGGUGGGUGGCGCUAGAAGCUUGAGCAGGGAGCUAGAGGAAGCUAAGGGCAACAAGGACGGAGGGAACUCUGGUGACGGGGGCAUUCCUUUUAUAACUGCUGGCGCAGGGGAACGGAAACGUCGCGGAGAGAGAGAAGGGGAGCGGCGCGAAGGCUGGGGAGAAGCAAUGGAGUGCUCUGUCGUGGCGGCGAUUGAGCAAACCGGGCGGUGCUGCAGAACU